This 3210-nucleotide ribosomal RNA is filed under the name Candidatus Elusimicrobium euhamitermitis. RNAcentral's name for it is "23S ribosomal RNA". It matches the Rfam family "Bacterial large subunit ribosomal RNA". The record is from RNAcentral. Lineage: Bacteria; Pseudomonadati; Elusimicrobiota; Elusimicrobia; Elusimicrobiales; Elusimicrobiaceae.
GGUCAAGCUACAAGGGUGUAUGGUGAAUGCCUUGGUGCCAGAAGUCGAUGAAAGACGUGAUAAGCUGCGAUAAGCCUCGGGUAGGAGCAAAUAUCCUUUGAUCCGGGGAUUUCUGAAUCGGGAAACCGUUACGGGUGAGAGCCCGUAAAUCGUAAUCUGAAUGCAAGUUCUUCGGAAUUUGAAAUAGGGUUACAGAAGACAACCCAGGGAAGUGAAACAUCUCAGUACCUGGAGGAGAAGAAAUCAAAGAGAUUCCGUUAGUAGUGGCGAGCGAAAGCGGAAAAGGCCAAACCAACUCCCGCACUGUAUAUAUUAUCGGGGGACGAGUAAAGCAAGUUCUUAAAAAUGCGCGUUUAAAGCGCAAGUCGUAAGAAUCUUGUUUUAAUUUUUGAGCAAAGUUUGAAUUUUAUUUGCGACGACGCGUACUGGAGUACGUUAGGAGCAAAAAAAUACAAAAUUUGCCAAAAAUUAAAACCCGUCAGCCGUCAAAGAUAGUGUAUAUCGUGCGUGGGUUGGGGUUACAGGGCUUGUUCGUGUUAGACACAAAGAGUUACCAAUCUGGAAAUUAGCUGAAUGGUCUGGAAAGUCCAACCAAAGAGGGUGACAGUCCCUUAAGCGAAAAUUUACCAGACUCUUAACAAGUUCCUAAGUACUACUGGGCACGUGCAAUCCGGUAGGAACUCGGGGAGACCACUCUCCAAGCCUAAAUACUCUCUGGCAACCGAUAGUGAACCAGUACCGCGAGGGAAAGGCGAAAAGAACCCCGGAAGGGGAGUGAAAUAGAACCUGAAACCGUACAUCUACAAGCUGUCGUAGCGCUAUGCCAUAGCAAUAUGGAAUGCGCGACGGCGUGCCUGUUGAAGAAUGAUCCAGCGAGUUAAUGUGACGAGCAAGGUUAAGGGCUGUAUAGGCCCGGAGCCGUAGUGAAAGCGAGCCCGAAUAGGGCGAUUAGUUCGUCAUAUUAGACCCGAAGCCAAGUGAUCUAACCCUGUCCAGGAUGAAGUUCUCGUAACAGAGAAUGGAGGUCCGGAGUGUUGAACGUUGAAAAGUUCCUACAUGAGGUGGGGUUAGGGGUGAAAGGCCAAUCGAACUUGGUGAUAGCUGGUUCUCCUCGAAAUAGCUUUAGGGCUAGCGUUGUAAUUUAACCCGCAGGGGUAGAGCACUGGUUGAUCUAGGGGGAGCGACCCUCUUUCCGACGUCAGUCAAACUCCGAAUACUGCGGCGAACAUUACAGCAGUCAGUUCGUGAGGGAUAAGCUUCACGAGCAAAAGGGAAACAGCCCGGACCCUCAAUUUAGGUCCCAAAAUAUAUACUAAGUGGUAAAGGAUGUGGAUUUACUUAAACAGCUAGGAGGUUGGCUUAGAAGCAGCCAUCCUUUGAAGAGUGCGUAAUAGCUCACUAGUCGAGUGAAUCCGCGCCGAAGAUGACUCGGGGCUAAGUAUAUUACCGAAAUUAGGGAUUGUGAUUGUCCUCGGACGAUUGCAGUGGUAGGGGAGCGUUAUUAACAGCAGUGAAGGCAUACCGGUAAGGAGUGCUGGAGCGUUAAUAAGUGAGAAUGCUGGAAUAAGUAGCGAUAAGGAAGGUGAGAAUCCUUCCCGCCGAAAAUCUAAGGUUUCCUUGAGCAACGUUCGUCGGCUCAGGGUCAGUCGGGCCUAAGCUCAGGCCGAAAGGCGUAGGCGAAGGACAUCAGGUUAAUAUUCCUGAACUAUAGUGUGCGCGUCAUAACUCAGGGAGGGACGCAGAAAGGUAAGCCGGCCGGAGAAAGGUUGUUCCGGUUCUAAACCAUAGGCGUUGUCUGACAGGCAAAUCCGUCAGGCUGUUAAGCCGAAGGUCAAGGGUAGCUGUAGCAAUACAGCGAAACGGCCCAACUACGCUGCCAAGAAAAACUUCGUGGGGAGUUCGCACUAUAACCGUACCGUAAUCCGACACAGGUGGAUGGGGUGAAAAUCCUAAGGCGCGCGAGAUAACCAUCGUCAAGGAACUAGGCAAACUAGCUCCGUAACUUCGGAAGAAGGAGUGCCUCAGAAUCGGUAUAGCAAUAUACCGUGCAAAGGCCGCAGUGAAUUGGGCUUCGUGACUGUUUAACAAAAACUUAGGGCUCUGCUGAAAUCACAAGAUGAUGUAUAGGGCCUGAUGCCUGCCCGGUGCCGGAAGGUCAAGGGGAUCCGUCAACGCAAGUGAAGCGGUGAACUUAAGCCCCGGUAAACGGCGGCGGUAACUAUAACCGUCCUAAGGUAGCGAAAUUCCUUGUCGGGUAAGUUCCGACCUGCACGAAUGGCAUAACAAAGAAGCCGCUGUCUCGACGAUGGGCUCGGCGAAAUUGUGGUGCAAGUGAAGACGCUUGCUGCGCGCAACAAGACGAAAAGACCCUAUGGAGCUUUACUGUAACUUGUUAUUGGAUUAUGAUUUUUAAUACGUAGAAUAGGCGGGAGCCUUUGAAGCAGCCUUUGAGGAGGUUGCUGAGGCGCCAGUGAAAUACCGCCUUUUGGGAAUUGUGAUUCUAACCUAUACCCGUGAAACCGGGUUGGGGACAGUGGCAGGCGGGCAGUUUGACUGGGGCGGUCGCCUCCUAAAGAGUAACGGAGGCGUUCCAAGGUUCCCUCAGGCCGAAUAGAAAUCGGCCACUGAGCGCAAUGGUAGAAGGGAGCUUGACUGUGAGGCUGACAGGCCGAACAGGUACGAAAGUAGGACAUAGUGAUCCGGUGGUACCUCGUGGGAGGGCCAUCGCUCAACGGAUAAAAGCUCCCCUGGGGAUAACAGGCUGAUCGGGCCCAAGAGUUCACAUCGACGGCUCGGUUUGGCACCUCGAUGUCGGCUCAUCACAUCCUCCCGCUGAAGCAGGUGGGAAGGGUUGGACUGUUCGUCCAUUAAAGUGGUACGUGAGCUGGGUUCAGUACGUCGUGAGACAGUACGGUCUCUAUCUGUUGUGCGCGUAGGAAACUUGAGAGGAGUUGUCCAUAGUACGAGAGGGCCUGGAUGAACGAACCUCCUGUAUAUCUGUUGUCCUGCCAAGGGCAUAGCAGAUUAGCGGUGUUCGGUAGGGAUAAACGCUGAAAGCAUAUAAGCGUGAAACCCGCCUCAAGAUAAGGUUUCCCAAGCACGUUAAGUGCUAUUAAGACCCCCGGAAGACUACCGGGUUGAUAGGCUGGGUGUGUAAGCGCGGAAACGCGUUCAGCUAACCAGUACUAAUAGGUCGUUUGGCUUGGCCGU